AUGCCCAUCUCAGACUCAAAAUUGAAAAAAGGGGAACUACAACCGGUGUGUGAUAAAAUCCUAGGAAGGAUGAAGGGGUGGAAACUGGCCCUGUUAAGUCUGGACGGGAGGUUGGACUUGGUUAAGAAGGUCUUGUCAGCAAUGCCAAUCUUCCAAAUGAUUGCAAUUCAUAUGCCAACCUGCCUCGAGAAGAUGAUCGACAAGGUCAGGAGAGGGUUUCUUUGGGAAAGCAAGGAAGAGGCCACUAGUGGCAAAUGCUUGGUAAACUGGAAAAGGGUAUGUCGCCCAACUGAAUUUGGUGGCCUAGGGAUCAUAAAUCUUGCGGCGCAGAGUAUUGCGCUCCGUGCCAGGUGGCUUUGGCAAACGUGGACUGAUGGGAGUAAACCGUGGCUUGGUCUGGACAUGCCUAUCGACCCGAAGGUCAGGGUAAUGGAGAGCGAAUUUCCUUCUGGAAGGAACCAUGGCACAACGGCGUCAGCCUCCAGAACACCUACCCGACGUUGUUCGCGCACUGCACCAGGAAAAACUUAA
This 531-nucleotide ribosomal RNA is filed under the name Triticum aestivum (bread wheat). Its description in RNAcentral is "partial small subunit ribosomal RNA". Lineage: Eukaryota; Viridiplantae; Streptophyta; Magnoliopsida; Poales; Poaceae. The record is from RNAcentral.